RNAcentral lists this ribosomal RNA (483 nucleotides) under uncultured bacterium. RNAcentral describes it as "partial 16S ribosomal RNA". It matches the Rfam family "Bacterial small subunit ribosomal RNA", at positions 28 to 507 of the family's 1533-position model. The record is from RNAcentral.
GAUGAACGCUGGCGGCGUGCCUAACACAUGCAAGUCGAACGAAGCUUGACGGAUGAUUUCUUCGGAAUGAAACCAGAUAUGACUUAGUGGCGGACGGGUGAGUAACACGUGAGCAACCUGCCUUUCAGAGGGGGAUAACGGCUGGAAACGGUCGCUAAUACCGCAUGAUGUGUUCGGAUGGCAUCAUCUGAACAUCAAAGAUUUAUCGCUGAAAGAUGGGCUCGCGUCUGAUUAGAUAGUUGGUGGGGUAACGGCCUACCAAGUCUACGAUCAGUAGCCGGACUGAGAGGUUGAACGGCCACAUUGGGACUGAGAUACGGCCCAGACGCCUACGGGAGGCAGCAGUGGGGAAUAUUGCACAAUGGGGGAAACCCUGAUGCAGCAACGCCGCGUGAAGGAUGAAGGUUUUCGGAUUGUAAACUUCUUUUCUUAGUGACGAAGACAGUGACGGUAGCUAAGGAAUAAGCAUCGGCUAACUACGUG